AUGUCAACGGCUCUAUGGAUUUCCACGUCACCAAAAAGAACUUUGUUGAGCUCAGCGGGGCAUUGCUUGGCAGCCCUCGUCAAAUAUAACAGGCGCCAAGCCUCCGAGGUCUCGAGAGCACCCUUCAAUUGUUACCGCAACCGCCCGACCGGAGAGGCCCUCCAGAAGGAGCUCCGGGUCGUCCCCACCCUGGACCGAGCGGUCGGAAUUCGUGAUGCCGUUCUGGAGGAUCAAAGCGGACGGCCCGAGUUCUUCCUUGUUCCGGGCGGGACAAACAAGAGUCCCGUGGCCAUCAUCGUCCCCCGCUCGCUCCUCGCUGGUAUCGAUCUACUGAACGCGACCAGGGACGCCCUCGUGAUCCCACCUCCGACCGGUGGCACCGGCAAAAAUAAGUCGCAGAAGAAGGGAAAGAAGCAGCAGCAGCAGGGUGCCGAGGAGGUGGGCCAGAGUCACAUCAACGACCUGCUCUUCCCCCGUCCAGACUCCUCGCACCCGUACGAUGUGGUGCACGUCAUAGGGCGCCUUAGAGAACGAUCGCCGGCUUCAGCGUCCCGAGCUGCUAACUACGAGGACCAUAAGAACUCGGCUCGCAACUAUGGCAUCGGAGCUGCCCGAUCGCCGGCUCGCAGAAGCUCUCAACGUCCACCUAGAUCACUCGGAGACCACGAGCGCACGGUAUUACAAAUCGGCAGAUCCAACUACGGCUCCUCGGGCUUUCGCUGACGUCGACGUGCAUCGUGAUCCUCGAGAGGCAAAGCCGGCGACCCUAGGUAAGGGAGAAGAAACGCCAUCACUUAAAAAGACAGGAAUCCCGGCGGAACUCGUGCGAGACAUCGCGCAGUUCGGAGUUAACGCGGCGACGGAAAGAAUUCUCGCCUCGAUCGAAAAGGAAGUGUCGCUUCCGUAGACGACUUCAUGACUCCAUCCUACACCACGCCUUCCCCGCCGCAGACUCGCGCACGCAGAGCAUGCUCCUGCUGACUAGGGAGGCCUCACCUGUCGAUUCCUCGCCGCGGCGUCCGUCUCCACCUAGCCGGCCACAGAAGUCCGUGCAUUUCACCAAGCAGCUCGCUACCGCGCUUUACGGCCCCGCAGCCGCCAUCGGUGGCCCCCUUGCAAGGCCCGACUUAGAUGCAGCGGCAGAAGUGGACUGGUCCUUACAUACACCGGAACGACUAUACAAUAAAAAAUCUAAGCGAGGCGCCGCAGUUGAAGGGGUUAUGGAAGUAUCCGAGCGCAGAACGGUGCUCGUAUGAACAUCCACACUGUGAGUAGGGAGAAAAAGAGACCACUUCCUAUUUUCUCAGUUGCUUUGUAUUUUCUGUGCUGUUCGGUGCGUGAUCUUUUCCAAGUUCUCUUCGUGCUCCCAAAGUGUUAAAAUGUGCUUUCCUUCGUUAACUUCUGAGGCCUCUGUUCGCGUGCCUGUACCUGUAUCGGAGGGGGGGUGAGGAAAAUGUAGGGAGUGUGGAGGUUGAGGAGGCUGUAGGGGGAGUUGAUAUUCCCGAAAACCUGUGUGAAGUAUCAGGUGUGGAUGAUUCGGAGGGGGGUGAGGAAAAUGUAGAGGGUCUAGAGGUUGGGGAGCCUGUAGGUGGGGUUUAUAUUCCUGAAAACCCGUAUGAGGAAUCGGAUGAUUCAGAGGAUGAGGAUUUGAAUCCUAUUUUAGUAAUAAGGCGUUAUGAGGAGGUGAGAGAGCGAGUGUUUUGUUUUAUUAAAUUGAGGGGUGGAACGGCUUUCCUCACACACUUAAUUUCCGAAACUUCCUCCUGGCCGUUUUCUUCUCGGAUUCGGAGAGACACUGUAAAGGCCUUAUUUGUAACAGCGUUUUAUUGUGUCUUGAGUGGGUCUAUUAUAAAUCCACAAAAAUUCAGGUGGGCAAGGCCUACUCAAUGGAGAAGAGUAAAAGAUAUUUAUUGUUCACCUUUAUGGUGGCUCUACUGGAAACUGAAACUUGGCCCUGCGCUGGGUUUCAGAUACUACAGUACACGAGUAGUAAAUUUGAUGGCAAAUGAAAUGAUUACACAUGAUGUGACAUGCAAAGUCAGGAGGUUAGGUUAGGUUUAGGGCCCGUUUGUUCUUUCUACAGACUAAACUAUCACCACUCACGUGAUGGAUGAAGCUACCGAGAGAUUCUUCCGGGAAAGAGCAAAGCGUGCAGCCGAUCCCACGUCCGCCUUAUCGGACUCCUUUACGGUCAGGCUCGCGUCCAGAUUCCGACGGGGUGCGACUUCACAAAAGCCUGCAAUGACGCCGCCCUGACUAGCUUCACCUUAGAACCUUAAAACCAAAUACCACAUAUCAACAAUCGCCAGUGCCUUACUAGAUCAAGCAAGAUUAAUC
Molecule: long non-coding RNA, 2337 nt
Filed under: Bemisia tabaci
Lineage: Eukaryota; Metazoa; Arthropoda; Insecta; Hemiptera; Aleyrodidae
Description: lncRNA ENSSSA1UGG011556
Source: RNAcentral